RNAcentral lists this unclassified non-coding RNA (688 nucleotides) under Viscum cuneifolium. RNAcentral's name for it is "sequence contains ITS1, 5.8S rRNA gene, ITS2". The stretch from base 280 to 438 matches the Rfam family "5.8S ribosomal RNA". Lineage: Eukaryota; Viridiplantae; Streptophyta; Magnoliopsida; Santalales; Viscaceae. The record is from RNAcentral.
UUUCCGUAGGUGAACCUGCGGAAGGAUCAUUGUCGAAGCCCUGUAGAAUGUUGAUGGACAUGCGAACUUGUAGGAACGUAUGCGGGGGGGUGCAUGGGGGCGUGGCCCCGCCACUGACGUGUGGUCGAUGAGGAUGUGUUCGGGAGCCCAUGUAUACCGCGAUCUAACACUUUAAUCGGCAGAGAACGUGCCAAGGAAGCUCCAUAAUAAAAUCCCACCCCACCUCGCAUGUCGUGCAUGUGGGGUUCGGGGAGGUGGUUUGCGCAACCGUGACAUAACGACUCUCGACAAUGGAUAUCUCGGCUCCCGCAUCUAUGAAGAACGCAGCGAAAUGCGAUACAUGGUGUGAAUUGCAGAUUCUCGUGAAUCAUUGAGUUUUUGAACGCAAGUUGCGCCCGAAGCCAUUUUUUGGUCGAGGGCACGCCUGCCUGGGUGCCAUGCAAGGGGUCGUCCCAGGUCCUCCUCCGGCGGGAGACUCGUUGAUGCUGUUGGUUUCCGGGAGAGAAGGGACCUUUGGGGUGGACGUUGGUCUUCCGUUCUAUGUUGUGCGGUUGGUUUAAAAUCGGGGUCCCAGGCGACAUGCGUCGCGAUGAGUUAGGGAAGACAAUGUUUGUCCCUUGUCGGUUGGUGAGCCACCUGCGGUCCCGUGGCCUCGUUGACACCUUGACGGAGAAGCCAUCCAGGCCCC